UACGUAGGGGGCAAGCGUUGUCCGGAUUCAUUGGGCGUAAAGAGCGUGUAGGCGGCCAGGUAGGUCGGUUGUGAAAACUGGAGGCUCAACCUUCAGAGGUCGACCGAAACCAUCUGGCUAGAGUCCGGGAGAGGAGAGUGGAAUUCCUGGUGUAGCGGUGAAAUGCGCAGAUAUCAGGAAGAACACCCGUGGCGAAAGCGGCUCUCUGGAACGGUACUGACGCUGAGACGCGAAAGCUAGGGGAGCAAACGGG
Molecule: ribosomal RNA, 253 nt
Filed under: uncultured bacterium
Lineage: Bacteria
Description: partial 16S ribosomal RNA
Rfam family: Bacterial small subunit ribosomal RNA
Source: RNAcentral